Bombus pyrosoma is the source of this 501-nucleotide long non-coding RNA. RefSeq lists it as uncharacterized. The transcript has 3 exons. NCBI's taxonomy places the organism in Eukaryota, Metazoa, Arthropoda, Insecta, Hymenoptera, Apidae. The record is from RefSeq and is a predicted model, not a curated record.
UUAGAUUCCCGACGACAAAACGUUUUAGAUUAUUCCGGGGCGAAAGAUGGUUGGAGAUGGUCGCCCGCGGGCCCGAUAGACGUUCGAUCGGCUCGAUGGGAAUUAACGAGACAUGACCGGAGAUAAUUGGAACAGGGAGAUUGGUCCGCGGUUCGACGAUGGUGAAAAUUCAUCGCCGUUUACGCCAGUGACGAGGGAGAAAAAAUAACCAGCGAAAUGGCGGGUCUCGGAAGGUAUUGCUGUGUCUCCUGGGAAUGGUUUAGCUUCCGGUCUGAGGAAGAGCGGAUACUGUUACGCGAUCGCCGCUCAGUGCAGAGACCUGCGUUACCACCCGGAAUGAAGAAUCGCUACCUUCGAAGCACAAUCGCAGAUGGCGCGUGCGGUAGCUGCUGGAGCUGUUACACAUUUUUAGUCGGCGUAUCGCGGGAAAAUUUCCUAAGUAUAAGUUUACGAGAACCGAGUCCUGUGUUAAUAAUCGAAUAAAAGAUUAACGACAGAAUA